GCCCGUGUGUUCUAGUGGUUCAUGAAGUGGGACUUUGAAUCCCGAAGCCAGGUUCGAAUCCCUGCAUGGGCU
RNAcentral lists this transfer RNA (72 nucleotides) under Polymyxa betae. RNAcentral describes it as "tRNA-Gln". It matches the Rfam family "tRNA". From Rfam's summary of the family: Transfer RNA (tRNA) molecules are approximately 80 nucleotides in length. Their secondary structure includes four short double-helical elements and three loops (D, anti-codon, and T loops). Lineage: Eukaryota; Endomyxa; Phytomyxea; Plasmodiophorida; Plasmodiophoridae. The record is from RNAcentral.